CAAAAAUUAUAGUAAGUGUCAUAGUAAGAAGAAAUAAAUUAAAUGCAGAAAAAAUUAUUAAUUUUUGCUCAACGCUCGCAAGGCAACGACUCGAUUCAAAAUUAGCAAGUUAAUCAAAAUCUAAAACUUCAUAUGCAAUAAAAGAAGAUUUUAUUAAGUUUGAGGCAAAAAUUCAAGAUUCAGAAGAACAUUUUGAGAAACUAGUAUACCAGAAUCAGUAGAAGAUGAUGUUACUAAACAGUUUUGUUGGCAAGGUUCCAAAGAUAAAUCGAGAUAAAAAAAAUUUCAACUAUGUUAGCAGUUAAAGUUGCUUACCGCCAAAAAUUUGCCGAUCACAGCGAAUCACAAUUUGAAAAAGUAGUUAUAACGUUUUUCCAGCAAGCAAAAAAUCGACACGGCAAAAAAAAACAAAGAAAUCAUUU
Long non-coding RNA from Lucilia sericata (common green bottle fly), 422 nucleotides. RefSeq lists it as uncharacterized. The transcript is spliced from 3 exons. The record is from RefSeq and is a predicted model, not a curated record. Lineage: Eukaryota; Metazoa; Arthropoda; Insecta; Diptera; Calliphoridae.